GCACAAGCGGUGGAGCAUGUGGUUAAUUCGAAGCAACGCGAAGAACCUUACCAGGUCUUGACAUCCCUGACAACCCGAGAGAUCGGGCGUUCCCCUCGGGGGACAGGGUGACAGGUGGUGCAUGGUUGUCGUCAGCUCGUGUCGUGAGAUGUUGGGUUAAGUCCCGCAACGAGCGCAACCCUCGACCUUAGUUGCCAGCAUUCAGUUGGGCACUCUAAGGUGACUGCCGGCUAAAAGUCGGAGGAAGGUGGGAUGACGUCAAAUCAUCAUGCCCCUUAUGUUCUGGGCUACACACGUGCUACAAUGGCCGGUACAGACGGACGCAAAGCCGCGAGGUGGAGCAAAUCCUAAAAAGCCGGUCUCAGUUCGGAUUGCAGGCUGCAAUUCGCCUGCAUGAAGUCGGAAUCGCUAGUAAUCGCAGGUCAGCAUACUGCGGUGAAUACGUUCCCGGGCCUU
Molecule: ribosomal RNA, 456 nt
Filed under: uncultured Thermincola sp.
Lineage: Bacteria; Bacillati; Bacillota; Clostridia; Eubacteriales; Thermincolaceae
Description: bacterial SSU rRNA
Rfam family: Bacterial small subunit ribosomal RNA
Source: RNAcentral